CCUACGGGUGGCAGCAGUCGAGAAUCAUUCACAAUGGGGGAAACCCUGAUGGUGCGACGCCGCGUGGGGGAAUGAAGGUCUUCGGAUUGUAAACCCCUGUCAUGUGGGAGCAAAUUAAAAAGAUAGUACCACAAGAGGAAGAGACGGCUAACUCUGUGCCAGCAGCCGCGGUAAUACAGAGGUCUCAAGCGUUGUUCGGAAUCACUGGGCGUAAGGCGUGCGUAGGCUGUUUCGUAAGUCGUGUGUGAAAGGCGCGGGCUCAACCCGCGGACGGCACAUGAUACUGCGAGACUAGAGUAAUGGAGGGGGAACCGGAAUUCUCGGUGUAGCAGUGAAAUGCGUAGAUAUCGAGAGGAACACUCGGGGCGAAGGCGGGUUCCUGGACAUUAACUGACGCUGAGGCACGAAGGCCAGGGGAGCGAAAGGGAUUAGAUACCCGGGUAGUC
RNAcentral lists this ribosomal RNA (446 nucleotides) under uncultured bacterium. Its description in RNAcentral is "partial 16S ribosomal RNA". It matches the Rfam family "Bacterial small subunit ribosomal RNA", at positions 338 to 795 of the family's 1533-position model. The record is from RNAcentral.